GUCUUUUUGAAAUAAUUUAAAGUCUAAUCUGCCCACUGAUAAAAAAUUAAAGGGCUGCAGUAUAAUGACUGUACAAAGGUAGCAUAAUCAAUAGUUUUUUAAUUGAAAACUUGUAUGAAAGAUUUGAUGAAAUAUGGACUGUCUCUAAUUUAUAAAUUGAAUUUUAUUUUUUAGUAAAAAAGCUAAAAUAAAUUUAAAAGACGAGAAGACCCUAUAGAGUUUUAUAUUUAAUUUUAUUUUAAAAUUAUAUAAAAAUUAAUAUUAAAAAUAAAAUUAAAUAUUAUAUUGGGGUGAUAGAAAAAUUAAAUUAACUUUUUUUAAAAAUUAAACAUAAAUAAAUGAUUGUAUGAUCCAUAAAUAAUGAUUAUAAGAAAAAAUUACCUUAGGGAUAACAGCGUAAUAUUUUUUUUUAGUUCAAAUAAAAAAAAAAGUUUGCGACCUCGAUGUUGGAUUAAGAUAAAAUUUAAAUGCAAAAGUUUAAAAAUUUUGAUCUGUUCGAUCAUUAAAAUCUUACA
This 515-nucleotide ribosomal RNA is filed under the name Melanargia syriaca. RNAcentral's name for it is "partial 16S ribosomal RNA". Lineage: Eukaryota; Metazoa; Arthropoda; Insecta; Lepidoptera; Nymphalidae. The record is from RNAcentral.